Long non-coding RNA from Drosophila navojoa, 755 nucleotides. NCBI's taxonomy places the organism in Eukaryota, Metazoa, Arthropoda, Insecta, Diptera, Drosophilidae. The record is from RefSeq and is a predicted model, not a curated record.
CAGACAUUCGUCGCACGCCGAAGCGUUCGGUCGCGUUUUCAGUGAACUCCACAAAAUCAGAGAACAAAAAAACAUAAGAAAAACAAAAACAAAGUAAACUGAAAAGUCUUUCGCCUCACAUGCACAGACUCCGAGAGUUCGAGUGUUUCGCGUGUGUGAGUGUGCGUAUGUCUCGUGUGUGACUAACUUAGUAGAUGUUGCUUAGACAGAGACAGUACUUAAAUACUCAGUGCUGAUGAGUUCCCAGGUGUAAAUCAACCCACAGACCAAGCACUGUACACAGUUACUCAAAUAUAUAUAUAACACAUAUAUCAAGUGAGAUCCGCGGGGAGUUCGAGCUCUGUGUUCGACGUCCAUUAGGCAAUCGUAACGGUAAUUUGUUGUAUCUUAAACUGGAUCCCGUUUCCAGUACAAAAUCUGUAAUUGAAAUUGAUUCAACCAACGGCAAAGCCAAACUCGAUUGCCAUUUAAAAGUCAAAAACUUUCGCACAGUCGGACAUUGGCGGAAUUUUAAUCGAGCUGCUAACAGUGAAGCGGACGGAAUGCAGCUGCUGCAGGUGCAACGGGCCGAAGUCGCAGCGGCGGUCUAAUUGAGGCCAGCCGGAUCAGGAGCAGGACACGCUCAAAUGGCGUCAUUUGUAUGCGAAGCCACAACAAUUGAGAGAGCCACAAAAGUUGCUAACGAAACAAACUCAACAAAGGAAAUGCAGCGCAGCAGCUAAAGCCAACCAAAUAAAAAACAAAAAAAAACAACA